GACGAACGCUGGCGGCGUGCUUAACACAUGCAAGUCGAACGGAAAGGCCCUGCUUUUGUGGGGUGCUCGAGUGGCGAACGGGUGAGUAACACGUGAGUAACCUGCCCUUGACUUUGGGAUAACUUCAGGAAACUGGGGCUAAUAUCGGAUAGGAGCUCCUGCUGCAUGGUGGGGGUUGGAAAGUUUGGGCGGGUGGGGAUGGACUCGCGGCUUAUCAGCUUGUUGGUGGGGUAGUGGCUUACCAAGGCUUGGACGGGGGGCCGGCCUGAGAGGGUGACCGGCACCAUUGGGCCUGAGUACCGGCCCGGCCUCCUACGGGGGGCAGCAGUGGGAAAUAUUGCACAUUGGGCGGAGGCCUGAUCCAGCAACGCCCCGUGCGGGAUGCCGGCCUUCGGGUUGUAACCCGCUUUCGCAUGUGACGAAGCGUGAGUGACGGUACUGGGUGAAGAAGCACCGGCUAACUACGUG
This 468-nucleotide ribosomal RNA is filed under the name uncultured bacterium. RNAcentral's name for it is "partial 16S ribosomal RNA". It matches the Rfam family "Bacterial small subunit ribosomal RNA", at positions 28 to 507 of the family's 1533-position model. The record is from RNAcentral.